UACGGAGGGAGCUAGCGUUGUUCGGAAUUACUGGGCGUAAAGCGCACGUAGGCGGCUUUGUAAGUUAGAGGUGAAAGCCCGGAGCUCAACUCCGGAACUGCCUUUAAGACUGCAUCGCUUGAAUCCAGGAGAGGUGAGUGGAAUUCCCGGUGUAGAGGUGAAAUUCGUAGAUAUCGGGAGGAACACCGGUGGCGAAGGCGGCGACCUGGGUAGAUACUGACGCUGAGGCGCGAAAGCGUGGGGAGCAAACAGG
Molecule: ribosomal RNA, 253 nt
Filed under: uncultured bacterium
Lineage: Bacteria
Description: partial 16S ribosomal RNA
Rfam family: Bacterial small subunit ribosomal RNA
Source: RNAcentral